UUUCCGUAGGUGAACCUGCGGAAGGAUCAUUACUGGGUUUGGCUUCGGCCGUCUCCCACCCUUGUCAUUUGAACUGUCGUUUCGGCGGUUGGCGCGAGCCUCCGCCGGCAGUAACUCUUCAGUAUUAGAAGUCUGAUAGUACAAAAAUCAUACAAAACUUUCAACAACGGAUCUCUUGGUUCUGGCAUCGAUGAAGAACGCAGC
Molecule: unclassified non-coding RNA, 204 nt
Filed under: uncultured fungus
Lineage: Eukaryota; Fungi
Description: sequence contains ITS1, 5.8S rRNA gene
Rfam family: 5.8S ribosomal RNA (bases 156-204)
Source: RNAcentral